UUCCCCUAGUAACUGCGAGUGAAGCGGGAAAAGCUCAAAUUUAAAAUCUGGCAGCCUUUGGUUGUCCGAGUUGUAGUCUGGAGAAGCGUCUUCCGCGCUGGACCGUGUACAAGUCCCUUGGAAUAGGGCGUCAUAGAGGGUGAGAAUCCCGUCUUUGACACGGACUCCCAGUGCUUUGUGAUGCGCUCUCAAAGAGUCGAGUUGUUUGGGAAUGCAGCUCAAAAUGGGUGGUAAAUUCCAUCUAAAGCUAAAUAUUGGCGAGAGACCGAUAGCGAACAAGUACCGUGAGGGAAAGAUGAAAAGCACUUUGGAAAGAGAGUUAAACAGUACGUGAAAUUGCUGAAAGGGAAACGCUUGAAGUCAGUCGCGUCAUGCAGAACUCAGCCUGGCUUUUGCUCGGUGUAUUUUCUGCAUGACGGGCCAGCAUCAGUUUUGGUCGCUGGAAAAAGUCUUCAGGAAUGUGGCACCUUCGGGUGUGUUAUAGCCUGGAGUCGUAUACAGCGGCUGGGACUGAGGAUCGCAGCGCGCCUUUAUGGCUGGGGUUCGCCCACAUUCGCGCUUAGGAUGCUGGCGUAAUGGCUUUAAACGACCCGUCUUGAAACACGGACCAAGGAGUCUAACACACCUGCGAGUGUUUGGGUGGAAAACCCGAGCGCGUAAUGAAAGUGAAAGUUGGGAUCCCUGUCGUGGGGAGCACCGACGCCCGGACCAGACCUUCUGUGACGGCUCCGCGGUAGAGCAUGUGUGU
RNAcentral lists this ribosomal RNA (748 nucleotides) under Somion unicolor. RNAcentral's name for it is "eukaryotic LSU rRNA". It matches the Rfam family "Eukaryotic large subunit ribosomal RNA", at positions 75 to 809 of the family's 3401-position model. Lineage: Eukaryota; Fungi; Basidiomycota; Agaricomycetes; Polyporales; Cerrenaceae. The record is from RNAcentral.